This 3822-nucleotide ribosomal RNA is filed under the name Triticum aestivum (bread wheat). RNAcentral's name for it is "partial small subunit ribosomal RNA". Lineage: Eukaryota; Viridiplantae; Streptophyta; Magnoliopsida; Poales; Poaceae. The record is from RNAcentral.
AUGGCCGGAAUCGACGACGGCGGGGCCGCCGCGCAGCUGGUGCAGAAGCUGAUAAUCUGUGGAGUUGCAGAAGAGCAGACACAUCAAGAAGGCUUGCUCAUGUAUUUGGAGGAGCACAAGGAUAAGAUUCCUGAGAUCACUGCGGCCAUCUUGUCAGCAGGCACUGAUUUAAUGGAGUCGCCGAAGAAGGAUGAAGACGGCAGCAGAAGCAGCACCAACGCAUACAGUGAGAGCCUGUUGUGGCUGCAGUGGAUGAUGUUCGGCAAAAAUCCAGAUGCAAUGCUUCAUGACAUGGAGCUUAGCUCUGAGGAUGACCGCGCUGUCUGCGGGACUGUCUGGGGGCAGAAUGGCGUUGCUUACCGUUGCCGGACCUGCGAGAGUGACCCCACAUGCGUGAUUUGUGUUCCGUGCUUCCAGAAUGGUAAUCACAAGGAUCAUGAUUACUCCAUCCUUGAAACAGGUGGUGGGUGUUGUGAUUGUGGGGAUGCUACUGCUUGGAAGCCUCAAGGGUUCUGCACGAGGCACAAGGGGGCUGAACAAAUUAAGCCUCUUACCGAGGAGCUUGCGAGUUCCGUAGGGCCUGUGUUGGACGAGCUGUUGCUGUUCUGGAAGGAGAGGAUUUGCAUUCCUCGUGAAAAGGCUGACGAUUGCAAGAAGAGGGUUGCCCAAGAGUUGACGAUUUCUAUUGCUGACAUGCUUCUUCGCUUCUGCGCAUGCAGUGAAAGCCUUCUAAGUUUUGUGUCCCAAAGGAUCCAUGAGUCCCCUGGUCUCUUGGAUGCAUUGAUGAGGGCAGAGAGGAUACUGGACAAGAAAGUUGUGAACAAAUUGCAUGAGUUGCUUUUGAAGCUUAUCGCUGAACCGGCUUUUAAGUGUGAGUUUGCCAAAGUUUUUAUUCAGUACUACCCUGUUGCAUUUUCUGAAGUUAUUAAAGGGGGCAACGACAAUGUUCUGGAGGAGUAUCCACUGAUACCAGCCUUUUCUGUCCAAAUAUUUACCGUGCCUACGCUGACUACAAGGCUUGUGCGCGAGCACAAUUUGUUGGGUACUCUUCUUGAAUGUUUGACAGCUCUGUUUCUUUCUUGUGUUGGUGAGGAUGGCCGUUUACAGACGAGCAAAUGGGUAAAUUUGUAUGAUGCUUCUUUUAAAUUAUUGGAAGAUGCACGCUAUGUCCUGAGACAUGAGGAGGUUUCUACAUAUGUUGCUUCUGAGAGGCCUGAUCUAACAAGUUCAUGGGUUAAGCUGUUGUUACUUGUGCAAGGAAUGGAUCCUCACAAGAGAGUGACGAGUAUCCCUGCUGAAGGUGAGAAUGAGAAUCUAUCUGCGCCUUUCAUGCUAGGGCAUUAUCUUGGGAUCAUUCAGAAUCUUUUGCUGAAGGGAGCAUUAUCUUCUCCUGGGCAACAAGAGUCAACAAAUGUUACUGCAUGCUCCACCGCGACAAAAGGCAUGGAAAGUGCCAAGAACCAGCGGCUUGCAAAAGUUGGAAGGGUCUCCCAUGAGAACUCGGUAUGCACUUUGAGUGAUUCGAGCAGUGAGAUACCAUCACCUGCUGCCUGCUUAAUUCGUCAGUGCUUGAAAGCUAUUGGUAGCUGGCUGGAACUGACUGGUGAUUUGGGCGUGAAGGUAAAUGAAGGAUCCCAACUAGAUAAUGUUGCAGAUUAUUAUGAACUAAUUGGUCCUCCUAUUCAAGAGUCAGGCAACAUGUUGCUGAUAGGUCAAGGGGGGAUGCCUCAGGUUGGUAACAUCACAGGAAGGGGAAAGAUGCAAGAAACUAGCAGUGUUGUUACUCUGACUGGUGGCAACCUUUUAUAUGCCCACCCACAUUCAGGAACUGAUGAACUAGGUCUAUUCAGUAAGACAGGUUGGCAUCAUGCUGUCUUUGAUGUCAGUUCACAAGAAACGUCUUUUCAUAUCCCUUUACACCGUAUGCUUUCAUUACUAUUGCGGGAAGCAAUGAAGAAAUGUUUCGGAGAGGAUGCCAAAACAGAGGAAUGUUCAGUUGUGCAGUCCAAUGAGUUCUUUUCUCAGGUACUUGGAGGUUGUGAGCCUUAUGCGUUUGCUUCAGUUGUGAUGGAGCAUCCAUUAAGAGUGAGAGUAUUUUGCGCACAAGUGCGUGCCGGGAUGUGGCGUAAGAAUGGUGAUGCAGCUAUACUAAGUGCUGAGUGGUACCGCUCUGUGCAAUGGUUUGAACAGGGCUUGGAGUCGGAUUUGUUUCUGCUUCAAUGCUGUGGUGCAUUAUCUUCUCCAGAGUUCUUUAUGAGGACCAUUCAAGAAAGAUUUGGUUUGUCAGAUUAUACAUCUCUGGAUCUCACUCAACAGAAUGAGUAUGAGUCGGUUCUUAUACAAGAUAUGCUAACUUUUAUUGUGCAACUAGUCAAAGAACGCAGAUUUUGUGGGUGUUCCAUAGCAGACAACUUGAAGAGAGAAUUGAUUUAUAAAUUGGCUGUUGGAGAUGCCACCCAUAGCCAGAUUGUGAGGUCUCUUCCCCAUGACCUUUCGUCAAGAGAACAAUUUGAAGAUGUUCUAGAUUCAGUCGCAGUUUGUUCUGAUCCAUCUGGAAAGAAAAAGGGCAAGUAUGUGCUUCGCGAAGCAUUCUGGAAGGAAUUGGACUUGUAUCACCCGCGCUGGAGUCCCAGGGAAUUGCAGAUUGCUAAAGAGAGAUAUUACCGUUUUUGCAAAGUUUCUGCUCUUGGCGCUCAACUACCUCAAUGGACUCAUGUUUUUAGCCCUCUGCGCAGUAUUUCUAAGAUUGCCACCUCCAAAGCUGUCCUUCAAAUUGUUCGUGCUGUUCUCUUCUAUGCUGUUUACACCGACGCAUCAUCGGUAUCACGUGCCCCUAGCAAUGUUCUUGUGACUGGUCUGCACCUGCUUUCGUUGGCACUUGACAUAUGUGAAGCAGAGUCUCAAAUUUCUGCGGACCAGUAUGGGAUGGACUUACUGCAGCAUGAUGAUGAAUCGUGGGUUGUUCUGUCAUCGGAUGCAGAAGAGGCUUUUCCCAUAUUGACCUACUCUACAGAACUAGUCUCCCCAGAGUCUGACAAGCUAAAGAAGGAUAGCAUGCUAACCUUGCUUGUCUCACUGAUGCACAAGGAAAAGAAUGGCAGCACCUUUUCUGGAUGCAAUAUUCCGUCUCUAGCUGAGAGUUUGUUACAGAGAUUUGCCAAGCUAAGUAAGCAGUGCAUGUCUGCAGUAAGACAAAUGGCACCACAAGUACUCCCAUCCAUUCCAGAUCAUGCCAGCGCCAAACAGAAUUUAGGAUCUCCAGAUUCGACGGGAAAACGCCGAUGCGAAGCUGCAAUCAUGGCAAAAAUGGGAGCAGAGCAGUCAAAACCUGCUGAAAGUAUAAAGUCCUCAGGAAAUGAAGGGCGUGAUGUUCCAGCAUUUGAGCCAGAUGCGCCCAAAUCAACUGCCGUUGAGACGCGACCAGUUUGCUCUCUGUGCCAAGAUUCGGAUUCCAAAAGUCCACUCUGCUGUUUGAUUCGUCUUCAGACUGCUAUGGAAACUAUGAUGGCAGACACUGUUGAAGAUGGUCAGACCCCAAGAUCAGUUGCAGAGUUCGCUUCCAAGCUACUCUCCCAUGCCAGCUCCAUAGGCUCGUCGAAGUCGCCAGCUGUUCAAGUUCUUGAGGAUAAACUCGAGGUAGAAAGACGGGGUGCAGCUGCUCUCCGGGAAGAAAUCAGCACCCUGAAGAAGCGAGCAGAAAAGGCUGAUGCGAUCAUCGCGAAAACCCAACAGGAGAUGGAGGAAGUCGGGAAGAAGCAAGCCGAGACUGACCAGAUUCUUCAGCUUCUCCUGCGCAGGUCUCAGGGUAACCCCGCUUCUUAG